RNAcentral lists this long non-coding RNA (2254 nucleotides) under Gossypium barbadense (sea-island cotton). RNAcentral's name for it is "long non-coding RNA (GBAR_LNC013794)". Lineage: Eukaryota; Viridiplantae; Streptophyta; Magnoliopsida; Malvales; Malvaceae. The record is from RNAcentral.
UUGUAACCAUCUUCACAUCACAUCUGAAUUUUGAUAUUAGAAGAAGCUCCUUAACUGACGAUUAACAGACACAUUACGAUCGAUUGCAUCAAAACUUCUUCAAGGACUGUGAGGGAUAGGAGAGCCUCCUAUAUAGUCCAGAUUCCAUUUAAACAUACUUGUGCUACUUUCCUUGUGAGAUAUGUAAGCUUUCCAGGCAUCAACUCCAAAGUAACUGUGCCUAAUGUAUUUGUAAAUUUAAUUUAAAAUACCCAGAGGAAUAACAUAAGACCUGCAAAGUAAUUAUUGUUGGCAAUUUAUUUGGGCAUAUAAGCCUCAUUAUCAUCAAAUUGUGCUAUGAUUAUAACGGUAAUAUAAUUCACGUCAUAAAAAGAAUGAGCCACAGGUGUAAUUAACUUCAUGGUUGUCAAAAUGCUGUCCAGAAAACCAGAUCAAUGGUACAAAACUCAAGGAUGUCCACUCAUCUAAGAGAAAAACAAUGAAUUGAGAGUUGAAAGAUGUACGCAAUGACAUCUAAAAGGGAGCAAGAGGAGAUAGAGGUAGUUGGCAGAGAAAAGACACCCUUUUUCAACCAUAAGGUUAGUCCCUUCUCUUUUGCUUAGUGCUUUAACUUUUUAAUUUAUUUGGGUGAAAAUUUAAAUUAGAUAAUAGAAUAAGAAACAUAAUUUCUACAUAAAGAAACUAGAAAUGUCUUAUGUUAAAGACUGUUCUAAUUGCAUGUUAUAACUAGUAUUGUAAGAGUAUGAUAUGACAAUGCAAAAAUGUAAUAAAUAAUAGUAAAGCAUAAAUGGUAACGAAGACUAGAGGUUGUUUAUGCAGUACAUCAUCGGCCUUGAUGAAAUUAUCACCUUACAAUUUUUUGUAACGUUGUAAGCUUUACAGCCAAGGUUCUAAUAGAAAUCACAUUUAGAAUUAGCCUUUUGAAAUUUGUGUAAUUCUCCAUGUCAAUUUCUAGGAUUCUUUGAGCAGUGAAAUAAGAAUUUUAUUCCUUAAGAAAAGAUAAUUCCUUAAUCUUGAGAAAAAAAAAAGUCUGACCACUAAUUAUAUAAUUGUUUUUAAGGAUAAUUCAAAUUGUUUUGUUUCUAUUAGUUGAACUUGAAGUUUAUCAAUUACAUUAAUAACAAAUUCUUUAGCAUUCAUUAAUGAGUGUAUGUAUUUAUCAUCACAAACAUGCAUAAUUCAGGCAAUGAGGGUUGUGUCUGCAGGUUUUGUGUGCCAGGUUGCGGCACUUGGAACUAUCAUCAACUAACAUAAAAAAACUAUGGCCUGAUAAACCAGACAGGGCUAUAUCCCCUGGUGUUCUCAACUUACAAAUCUAAUUUUAGGAGGGCUAGAUAGUCAAUUAGUUUUCCGAUUGAGGAGAAUACAAUGCAGACUUUGAGUGCUGUUAAGUAACAACACCAUGAAGAGUUCAGGGUAAAUAAAAGCAAGUGGGUACAACAAGCUUGAAAGGGUACCUCAAAGUCUAUGGAAUUUGAGCCAGUAGCACAUAUGGUAUACGAGUAUAAAUGUCAAAGCUACACAUAUCCUAGAGGAAGAAAAAAUGCCGGGUAAACUGCUAAAAAUAGCCAUAGUUGAAAUCAUUUGUCUCAAGAAAUACCAGCUUAAGUAUCAACAGCUUGAAACUCUUAAUAAGAUCAUAGAUGAGCAGAGGAAAUUAAGAAGCUGCUACCCUACGCAUAAUAUGCCUGUUUAGGACCUUUAUUCCAGUUCUUCCGUAAACACAUUCCUCAACCAUUUACUAUCGUAACAGAAUCUAAUUCACAGAUGAGGCAGAUAAAUGGUCAUAAACUCACAUAUUUGAAGCAAUUUAUGUCCAACCUAGGUAUCAUCCUUAAGAGUAUUUUAUAACAAUGAAGCAAAAGAGGCACAAAAGCCAGAAUUUUUCCUCUUUUUUUUUUCUGUUGGAAGAGUUUACCUGUGGAUGAGGAACUAAAAAGCAACUAAAAACAAAGCAUAAUGAAUAAAUAAAGAGAAGAAGAAGAAAAGAAACUCACCUGCGAAAGAGGAGCAAAGAACAGGAAAGAGCUUUGAAAGCGAAAAUGUGAAAAAAAUGGGUAUACAGCUCCAAAAAACCAAUAGCAGAGGAAAGAACGUUUAACCAGGUUAAAAAGAUCAAUUAUCAGCCAAAAGCACUUCAAGCUAAAGAAAAGGAGAAAUUUUCAACUUCUUCGUCUGGAGAAAAGGACUUUUCUGAUGGAGAAAUUUUUUCUGAAAUGGAGGUCGUUCUUCCUUCCUUUUAAGAGAAAAAGAC